AUUGAACGCUGGCGGAAUGCUUUACACAUGCAAGUCGAACGGUAGCGGGGGAAACUCCUCGAGAGCGGCGAACGGAGGAGUAAUAUAACGGAACGUGCACAGUCGUGGGGGAUAUAGUAGCGACAGCUACGCUACUACCGCCUACGAUCUAAGGAUGAAAGCGGGGGAUCGCACGACGCCGCGCGAUUGGGGCGGCCGAUAUCAGCUUAGGUAGUUGGUGGAGUAAAGGCUCACCAAGCCAACGAUCUGUAGCUGGUCUGAGAGUACGACCAGCCACACUGGUACUGAGACACGGUCCAGACUCCUACGGGAGGCAGCAGUGGGGAAUUUUGGACAAUGGACGCAAGUCUGAUCCAGCCAUUCCGCGUGCAGGAUGAAGGCCCUCGGGUUGUAAACUGCUUUUGUACGGAACGAAAAGGUCUCUCUUAAUACGGGGGGCUCAUGACGGUACCGUAAGAAUAAGCACCGGCUAACUACGUGCCAGCAGCCGCGGUAA
Molecule: ribosomal RNA, 496 nt
Filed under: uncultured bacterium
Lineage: Bacteria
Description: partial 16S ribosomal RNA
Rfam family: Bacterial small subunit ribosomal RNA
Source: RNAcentral